This 1033-nucleotide long non-coding RNA is filed under the name Triticum aestivum (bread wheat). Its description in RNAcentral is "long non-coding RNA (TAES_LNC005084)". The record is from RNAcentral. Lineage: Eukaryota; Viridiplantae; Streptophyta; Magnoliopsida; Poales; Poaceae.
AGGCCACGGCAUCGGCGGUGGAUUCGGUAAAGGCGGAGGUCUUGGCGGCGGCAUCGGCAACGGUGGAGGACUCGGUGGUGGUGCCGGUGGCGGGUAUGGCAAUGGUGGUGGUCUUGGAAAUGGAGGCGGGCUCGGAGGCGGCAUCGGCCAUGGACUCGGUGGUGGCAUUGGAAAGGGUGGGGGUCUCGGUGGCGGCUUUGGCAAAGGUGGUGGACUAGGGGGCGGCUUUGGCGGUGGAGACGGCGGAGGCGGCGGUUUUGGCGGAGGCUUUGGCAAGGGAGGCGGAUUCGGUUUCGGGAUCGGCAAAGGUGGCGGUGGCGGGAUCGGCGGCGGCCACUGAUGUUGCAGUAUGUACGUUUGGCUCAGCUCUGUUCUGCUGAGGGCCGUUGGUCGUCAUAGUAUUCUGUCGAUGUGAGCAGUACGUGUGAUGAAACAUAUUUUUCCCUUGUAGAAUCUCACCACUAGUAUUUUCUUGUGUCUCCUGUUCUCUCAGGGAGACGUAUUCUCGCGCAUGUACGUUGGUGAUGGAACUGAUGGUAAUAUAUGAGCAUCUUGUAUGUCUUGGUCCAUGCCAGUGUAUGUUCCAGUGAUUUUGAAAUAUAAAUUUGGUACAAGUAAAUAAAACUUCAGAAGCUACCUGCAAGUGUUCAAAGUUCAGGAUGUUCAGAACAGAGCAAGCAUAGUAAGAAGGAACGACAUGCAAUGCAAAAGCUUACGGCGGCUGCUCAACCGGCUGACGGCCUAAAAUCUCUACUCAGUGUCCGGACUCCAGAACUCCAGAUUGUGUGUAGUUUGCGCCUGAGAGUGCUCAACAUGUAAACAGUGUUUAAUCACUGUAAACCAAACUUGGGCACGUGUUCUUCGGUAUAAAGUGCAGUGCGAGGGUGGAUGGGAGGCGAAGCUAUGGAAAAUCUCAAAAGUACCUUUCUACAUCUGAGCUCAUAUGUUCCUGGUGUGAACAGUAAAAUUAAUAAAAUAAAAUAAUAUUUCAAAAAUUUCUGAAUUUUUUGUGGCAUACUUUCAGAAAUGUUUG